Molecule: small nucleolar RNA, 132 nt
Organism: Meriones unguiculatus (Mongolian gerbil)
Lineage: Eukaryota; Metazoa; Chordata; Mammalia; Rodentia; Muridae
Source: Ensembl
GGUGCCCCUGGAGGCACUACAGGUGUGGCUGCUGUGUCACAUAUGUGUCAGUAAAUGGCAGGGAGGAGAAAGGCUAUGUUCACACUCAAUGUUCUAACCUCUGAACAUCUGAAUGAUUAGUAACCUAACAGA